CUUCCUUUUCUCCUUUUUCUUCCGUUAAUUAAAUGUUUUAGAAAUAUAGGUAGGUGUUGGGCGUACAGAGAGGGAGAACGCAAGCAGCGGACAACUUCUCCCCGCAGAUCCGAUAGGCGUGCUGGGAUGGCAAACGAAGCGGGUCGGGUGCAGGGACACCAACUAUUGUAUUUUCAAAUUGUCCGAGCCCUGGACCCCGGCGGCUCCGCAACGGUGGCUGUCAACACCGCGAGCGAAGGUUCCACGAGCAGCGAGCGGCCUCGCCGGGACGGCCGCAGGUAGCAUGAUCUCUGACAUUUGGCAAAGGGAGAAGGUCCAACCUGUGCAGGGCAUUAUGGAAUAUUUGCUGAGGGUACAGGCAACUUUCCAGGACAGCUGUCUUCCAUGUGGGAGCUCCGAACCUCAGGCUAAUUCAAUCACGUGGCAUGUCCAUAACAAGUUCUUCCAUGAUUGCUGUGGCAGUGAAGAGAGAGUCUGCAUAGUCCUACAGGUAGUGUUCUCUGAAUUCUUAUUUUACCCAUAAACAAGUAUACCUCAUGAACAGCCUAAGUAUCUCAACCUAGAAUCCGUAACUUCACUCACCCCAAAGAGUUCAAUAUCGCAAAUCAUUUUAGUGCCACCAAAUUAGCUUCCAAUUCAUUUCAUUCCUUGGAAAUAAUGUGUUGGUAAAUAUUGAAUGUGCCAUGUAUGCUACCAGAGUCUCAAUUGCCCUAGGUAAAAUGAGAAAGAAAUAUUUAUAUCAAUGCUUUGAUAAAAAUUCUCGAAUAUUUCAUCAAUAGAUAACUGUGAACAUGUGAUACAUGGCUUAUAUUUGUCUCUUAGACUUCUUUGGACACACUUUGCUUUUCCUUUAAAUAAUACUCAUAAAUGUUAAAUACAAUGGACUUUGGAGUGAUUUUAUAGAUGGAAAUUAUGUUGUUUAUUUAAAGUGACUUGCCUUUAUUUUUCCCACUGGCUGUCAUUGUUUUGCAUUUGUUGUUCCCAUAAGUUUUCCAGGGAUUUUAUGGGCUCUAAAUUUCAAGUAGCUUGUAUUGCCCAUCAUUGAUUGAGGGAAAGAUAAUAUUUUAGUCAUGCUUCUCAUCUUGUGCAUAACCUGUGUUAGCCCCUCUGGAUUCUGGAUCAUGGCUUAUUCUGGUGUGAAAUGAAGUUGACUUUUUUAUUUUUAUUUUUAAUUUUUUUUAAUUUUUUGAUGUUUAUUUUUGAGAGAGAGAGAGAGAGAGAGAGAGCGAGCAGGGGAGGGGCCAAGAGAUAGAGAAGGAGACACAGAAUCCAAAGCAGGGUCCAGGCUCCAGGCUGUCAGCUCAGAGCCCUGCGCAGGGCUCCAAUGCGCGAACUGCAAGAUCAUGACCUGAGCUGGAGUCAGACGCUUAACCCACUGAGCCACCCAGGUGCCCCAGAAGUCAACUUUUUUAAAAGUUUAUUUAUUUAUUUUAAAAGAGAGAGGGAGAGAGAGUGCUUACACUCACAGGUGUGCAAGCAGGGGAGAGGCAGAGAGAGAGGGAGAGAGGGAAUCCCAAGCAGGUUCUAAUGCUGUUAGCCCUAAGCCCAACGCUUGGUUCUGUCUCCGACAGUGAGAUCAUGACCUGAGCUGAUAUCAAGAGUCGGAUGCUUAAUAAGAUGAGCCACCCAGGUGCCCCUGAAGUUGUGUUUCAUUUUAAAGGAGAGAACUUACUUCCAUAGUGAACUUUAAGGACAGAAUCAUGCCCUUUUGUUAGAACUGGAUAAAGAGCAAUUAGACACCAUAGUUAGAAAACCAUUGUAGUUGGUAUAUAAAUGUAACAAAUAAAAGAAUAUAUAUUGACA
This 1803-nucleotide long non-coding RNA is filed under the name Felis catus (domestic cat). RNAcentral describes it as "lncRNA (ENSFCAG00000046368.2)". The record is from RNAcentral. Lineage: Eukaryota; Metazoa; Chordata; Mammalia; Carnivora; Felidae.